This 394-nucleotide ribosomal RNA is filed under the name Adriamonas peritocrescens. Its description in RNAcentral is "partial small subunit ribosomal RNA". It matches the Rfam family "Eukaryotic small subunit ribosomal RNA", at positions 30 to 432 of the family's 1831-position model. The record is from RNAcentral. Lineage: Eukaryota; Bigyra; Bicosoecida; Siluaniidae.
GCUUGUCUCAAAGAUUAAGCCAUGCACGUCUGAGAAUAAAGAGUUUUCUCUGAAUCUGCGAAUGGCUCAUUAUAUCAGUUAUAGUUUAUUUGAUAGUCCUUUACUACUUGGAUAACCGUAGUAAUUCUAGAGCUAAUACAUGCGUCAAGUCCGGACCGCGCGAGCGGGAAGGAUGUGUUUAUUAGAUACAACCAACCCUUCGGGUUCCUGGUGAGUCAUAAUAACCGAACGAACCGCAGGCUUCGGCGGCGGUGGUUCAUUCAAGUUUCUGCCCUAUCAGCUUUCGAUGGUAGGGUAUUGGCCUACCAUGGCGUUAACGGGUAACGGAGAAUUAGGGUUCGAUUCCGGAGAGGGAGCCUGAGAGAUGGCUACCACAUCCAAGGAAGGCAGCAGG